AUUUAUCAUUUCAAUUAAAUGAAUUUUUCUCUGAUUCAGUAAUUCCAGAGCAGCAACACUUAUUUCAUUUAGGUUGUUCGUAAUAAAUGUUCCAACCUUUUUCUUUAAGCCUUGGAAAAUAGUGGAAGAGUUUGGCUGCCAUCAUUGGAAAGCUCUGCCGAAAGAGGGAGAGUAUGAAAAGGAAAUGGCUUUACUAGAAAGAGUGACUUUGUGGGCAGAAGUGUGUCACUGGAGACAGGCUCUGAAGUUUCAGAUGAUCAAGCCAGGCCAAGAGUGGCAUACUCCUGCUGUCUGCUGAUCCUGAUGUAGGACGCUCAGCUACCUGUGGGCCACCAUGCUUCUCACCACGAUGACAAUGAACUAUACUUCUGAACUGCAAGCCAGCUUCAAUUAAAUGUUUUCCUUUAUAA
Molecule: non-coding RNA, 410 nt
Organism: Rattus norvegicus (Norway rat)
Lineage: Eukaryota; Metazoa; Chordata; Mammalia; Rodentia; Muridae
Source: RefSeq, a predicted model, not a curated record